AGAGUUUGAUCCUGGCUCAGAACGAACGCUGGCGGCAUGCCUAACACAUGCAAGUCGAACGAGUGCCUUCGGGUGCUAGUGGCGCACGGGUGCGUAACGCGUGGGAAUCUGCCCCUUGGUACGGGAUAACAGCGGGAAACUGCUGCUAAUACCGUAUGACGACGAGAGUCCAAAGAUUUAUCGCCGAGGGAUGAGCCCGCGUAGGAUUAGCUAGUUGGUGGGGUAAAGGCCUACCAAGGCUACGAUCCUUAGCUGGUCUGAGAGGAUGAUCAGCCACACUGGGACUGAGACACGGCCCAGACUCCUACGGGAGGCAGCAGUGGGGAAUAUUGGACAAUGGACGCAAGUCUGAUCCAGCAAUGCCGCGUGAGUGAUGAAGGCCUUAGGGUUGUAAAGCUCUUUUACCCGGGAAGAUAAUGACUGACCGGAGAAU
Molecule: ribosomal RNA, 433 nt
Filed under: alpha proteobacterium EX131
Lineage: Bacteria; Pseudomonadati; Pseudomonadota; Alphaproteobacteria
Description: bacterial SSU rRNA
Rfam family: Bacterial small subunit ribosomal RNA
Source: RNAcentral